This is a long non-coding RNA of Meriones unguiculatus (Mongolian gerbil), 454 nucleotides long. RefSeq lists it as uncharacterized. The transcript is spliced from 3 exons. The record is from RefSeq and is a predicted model, not a curated record. Lineage: Eukaryota; Metazoa; Chordata; Mammalia; Rodentia; Muridae.
GACCAAGAGUUUAUAGACGGGGUUAACUGAGACUGGAAAACACAGUCUGAGGAUGAGAAUACCAUCCUGUGGCAUCCUCAAGAUACUGGCCUGAAUAAAAGAAAGAAGUGGACUGAACACCAACAUUCAUCCCUCUCUGCUUCCUGACCAUAGAUGCAAUGUGACCCAUGUGUCUGCCACCAUGCCUUCUCCAUGCUGGGAUGUACCCUCAAACUGGGAGCCCACACUUCCAUCUGCAACUGGCUCCAGCAAUCCAGAUGGAGCAUUCAUUCAUUCGCUCAUUCAUUCAUUCACCACACACUCUGGAUAUGGGGAGACCAAAGAAUGAACCCUUGUAUUCUGGAAGCUCAGAGGAGCUGGCUGUGUUCUCCACUGUGCCAGCAGAGGUCUGUUCUUGGACCCUGUGCUGUCUACUUCAUGGAUGAUGCUAGAAGCCUUUAUCUCAGCUCUGCAG